GACUAAUGUUGAAAAAUUAGCGGAUGACUUGUGGCUGGGGGUGAAAGGCCAAUCAAACCGGGAGAUAGCUGGUUCUCCCCGAAAGCUAUUUAGGUAGCGCCUCGUGAAUUCAUCUCCGGGGGUAGAGCACUGUUUCGGCAAGGGGGUCAUCCCGACUUACCAACCCGAUGCAAACUGCGAAUACCGGAGAAUGUUAUCACGGGAGACACACGGCGGGUGCUAACGUCCGUCGUGAAGAGGGAAACAACCCAGACCGCCAGCUAAGGUCCCAAAGUCAUGGUUAAGUGGGAAACGAUGUGGGAAGGCCCAGACAGCCAGGAUGUUGGCUUAGAAGCAGCCAUCAUUUAAAGAAAGCGUAAUAGCUCACUGGUCGAGUCGGCCUGCGCGGAAGAUGUAACGGGGCUAAACCAUGCACCGAAGCUGCGGCAGCGACGCUGAUGCGUUGUUGGGUAGGGGAGCGUUCUGUAAGCCUGUGAAGGUGUGCUGUGAGGCAUGCUGGAGGUAUCAGAAGUGCGAAUGCUGACAUAAGUAACGAUAAAGCGGGUGAAAAGCCCGCUCGCCGGAAGACCAAGGGUUCCUGUCCAACGUUAAUCGGGGCAGGGUGAGUCGACCCCUAAGGCGAGGCCGAAAGGCGUAGUCGAUGGGAAACAGGUUAAUAUUCCUGUACUUGGUGUUACUGCGAAGGGGGGACGGAGAAGGCUAUGUUGGCCGGGCGACGGUUGUCCCGGUUUAAGCGUGUAGGCUGGUUUUCCAGGCAAAUCCGGAAAAUCAAGGCUGAGGCGUGAUGACGAGGCACUACGGUGCUGAAGCAACAAAUGCCCUGCUUCCAGGAAAAGCCUCUAAGCAUCAGGUAACAUCAAAUCGUACCCCAAACCGACACAGGUGGUCAGGUAGAGAAUACCAAGGCGCUUGAGAGAACUCGGGUGAAGGAACUAGGCAAAAUGGUGCCGUAACUUCGGGAGAA
Molecule: ribosomal RNA, 964 nt
Filed under: Escherichia coli
Lineage: Bacteria; Pseudomonadati; Pseudomonadota; Gammaproteobacteria; Enterobacterales; Enterobacteriaceae
Description: partial 23S ribosomal RNA
Rfam family: Bacterial large subunit ribosomal RNA
Source: RNAcentral